CAGCAGCCGCGGUAAUACGGAGGGUGCAAGCGUUAUCCGGAUUUAUUGGGUUUAAAGGGUCCGUAGGCGGACUUAUAAGUCAGUGGUGAAAGCCUGUCGCUUAACGAUAGAACUGCCAUUGAUACUGUAAGUCUUGAGUAUAUUUGAGGUAGCUGGAAUAAGUAGUGUAGCGGUGAAAUGCAUAGAUAUUACUUAGAACACCAAUUGCGAAGGCAGGUUACCAAGAUAUAACUGACGCUGAGGGACGAAAGCGUGGGUAGCGAACAGGAUUAGAUACCCGCGUAGUCCCUGUCUCUUAUAC
This 301-nucleotide ribosomal RNA is filed under the name uncultured bacterium. Its description in RNAcentral is "partial 16S ribosomal RNA". It matches the Rfam family "Bacterial small subunit ribosomal RNA", at positions 509 to 807 of the family's 1533-position model. The record is from RNAcentral.